AGAGCAUACGGAGGAUGCCUUGGUACAUGGCGCCGAAGAAGGACGUGACAAGCUGCGAAAAGCUGCGGGGAGCUGCAAAUGAGCCGAGAUCCGCAGAUGUCCGAAUGAGGAAACUCAGCGCGGGUAAUGCCGCGUUAUCAUACACUGAAUCCAUAGGUGUAUGAGGGGAACCCGGGGAACUGAAACAUCUAAGUACCCGGAGGAAAAGAAAGUAAAAACGAUUCCGAAAGUAGUGGCGAGCGAAAUCGGAGAAGCCCAAACCGCAUAUAGCAAUAUGUGCGGGGUAUGGACCCCGAAAAGCACGGAGAACGAUAGCCGAAUAGUGUUGGAAAGCACAUCGAAACAGGGUAACAGGCCCGUAGGCGAAAUUGUUCAAAGGCCGGGGGUAUCCGGAGUACGUCGGGACACGAGAAAUCCUGACGGAAGACAGGAGGACCAUCUCCUAAGGCUAAAUACGACCAUGUGACCGAUAGCGAAUAGUACCGUGAGGGAAAGGUGAAAAGCACCCCGGGAGGGGAGUGAAAGAGAACCUGAAACCGUAUGCUUACAAGCAGACAGAGCACCACACGCGUGUGAUGUCGUACUUUUUGUAGAACGGGCCGGCGAGUUACGUUGUGUUGCGAGGUUAAGCGAUAAAGUCGCGGAGCCGAAGCGAAAGCGAGUCUGAAAAGGGCGGAAAGUAGCAUGACGUAGACCCGAAACCUGAUGACCUAUCCAUGAACAGGUUGAAGCAGCGGUAAAACGCUGUGGAGGACCGAACCCACGCCUGUUGAAAUAGUCGGGGAUGAUUUGUGGAUAGCGGAGAAAUUCCAAACGAAUCAGGAUAUAGCUGGUUCUCCUCGAAAUAGCUUUAGGGCUAGCCUCAUGAAAGAUUACCGAAGGUAGAGCACUAAAUGGCCUAGGGGGCUUCACAGCUUACCGAAGCUUAUUAAACUCCGAAUGACGGAAAAUUGAUUCAUGGGAGUCAGACAGUGACAGAUAAGUGCCAUUGUCAAAAGGGAAACAGCCCAGAUCCACAGCUAAGGUCCCAAAGUACAGGUUAAGUGGUAAAGGAUGUGUCAUUGCAGAAACAACCAGGAUGUUGGCUUAGAAGCAGCCACACAUUAAAAGAGUGCGUAAUAGCUCACUGGUCGAGUGAUGGUGCGCCGAAGAUUACCGGGGCUCAAACCUGACACCGAAGCUUGGGGAUAGAAGUAAUUCUAUCGGUAGAGGAGCAAUGCAUACUGGCAGAAGCUGUAGCGGAAGCGGCAGUGGACGGUAUGGAAGAGAGAAUGCCGGCAUAAGUAGCGAGAGCGGAGCGAGAAACUCCGCCGUCGAAAGUCUGAGGUUUCCUGGGGAAGGUUCGUCCGCCCAGGGUAAGUCGGGACCUAAGUCGAGGCCGAAAGGCGUAGAUGAUGGACAACGGGUUGAGAUUCCCGUACCACCGACAGACAAUUAAAUGAAGCAGUGACACAGAAGGAUAGUUCGAGCGCACGGAUGGAAAAGUGCGUCCAAGGCGAAGCGUUGGCAGUUAGUGAAGUACGGCUGUCGCAAAACGUAGCGCUGACGGGGAGCGGAUUAGAGAAGCGAAGCGAAUGAAUCCACGCUGGCGAGAAAAGCCGCUAAAUACGUCUGAAGGUGCCCGUACCGCAAACCGACACAGGUAGACGAGAAGAAAAUUCUAAGACGAACGGGAGAACCCUUGUUAAGGAACUCGGCAAAAUGACCCCGUAACUUCGGGAUAAGGGGUGCCUGCGAGAGCAGGCCGCAGAGAAUAGUCACAAGCGACUGUUUAGCAAAAACACAGGUAUCUGCGAAAGCGAGAGCUGACGUAUAGGUGCUGACACCUGCCCGGUGCUGGAAGGUUAAGGGAACAUGUUAGAGCAAUCGAAGCAUCGAACCGAAGCCCCAGUAAACGGCGGCCGUAACUAUAACGGUCCUAAGGUAGCGAAAUUCCUUGUCGGGUAAGUUCCGACCCGCACGAAUGGUGUAACGACUUGUGAGCUGUCUCAACAGGGGGCCCGGUGAAAUUGAAGUAUGGGUGAAGAUGCCCAUUACCCGCGACUGGACGGAAAGACCCCGUAGAGCUUUACUGCAGCCUGAUAUUGAGUUUCGGUAACUGAUGCACAGGAUAGGUGGGAGUCUGAGAGACAUGGGUUUCGGCUCAUGUGGAGACGAUGUUGGGAUACCACUCUUCGGUUACUGAAAUUCUAACAUAGCUCUGUGAAACCAGAGGAUGGACAGUGUCAGGUGGACAGUUUGACUGGGGCGGUCGCCUCCGAAAGAGUAACGGAGGCGCCCAAAGGUACCCUCAGAAUGGAUGGAAACCAUUCGAAGAGCGCAAAGGCAGAAGGGUGCCUGACUGCGAGAUUGACAAAUCGAGCAGAGACGAAAGUCGGGCUUAGUGAUCCGGCGGUAUUGAGUGGAAAAGCCGUCGCUUAACGGAUAAAAGCUACCUCGGGGAUAACAGGCUGAUCUCCCCCAAGAGUCCACAUCGACGGGGAGGUUUGGCA
RNAcentral lists this ribosomal RNA (2492 nucleotides) under human gut metagenome. RNAcentral's name for it is "bacterial LSU rRNA". It matches the Rfam family "Bacterial large subunit ribosomal RNA", at positions 14 to 2523 of the family's 2925-position model. The record is from RNAcentral.